Molecule: ribosomal RNA, 412 nt
Filed under: uncultured bacterium
Lineage: Bacteria
Description: bacterial SSU rRNA
Rfam family: Bacterial small subunit ribosomal RNA
Source: RNAcentral
GUGUCAGCAGCCGCGGUAAUACGUAGGGUGCAAGCGUUAAUCGGAAUUACUGGGCGUAAAGCGUGCGCAGGCGGUUAUGCAAGACAGAUGUGAAAUCCCCGGGCUCAACCUGGGAACUGCAUUUGUGACUGGCAGGCUAGAGUAUGGCAGAGGGGGGUAGAAUUCCACGUGUAGCAGUGAAAUGCGUAGAGAUGCGGAGGAACACCGAUGGCGAAGGCAGCCCCCUGGGCUAGCACUGACGCUCAGGCACGAAAGCGUGGGGAGCAAACAGGAUUAGAUACCCUGGUAGUCCACGCCCUAAACCAUGUCAACUGGGUGUUCGGGAAGCGAUGUCUGAGUACCGUAGCUAACGCGUGAAGUUGACCGCCUGGGGAGUACGGCCGCAAGGUUAAAACUCAAAGGAAUUGACGGG